This is a long non-coding RNA of Dendroctonus ponderosae (mountain pine beetle), 302 nucleotides long. RefSeq lists it as uncharacterized. The record is from RefSeq and is a predicted model, not a curated record. The transcript is spliced from 2 exons. Lineage: Eukaryota; Metazoa; Arthropoda; Insecta; Coleoptera; Curculionidae.
GUCACACCUUGGAUAUCACAUCACUGAUAAACCGAUAUUGACAAAAUCUAAAUUUUGUCUUGCUUAGAAAGACAGUAUUCUAGUAACUAAUAAAUCUAUAAUCAUAUAGCUUUUCAGAAAUUCUGAGAGCUUUGGCGUUUCCGCCAAGCAGCACUGCGUGAAGGAUGAUUCUCAUUGGUCCGCUCUCAUUGUCACUCUCGAAUGUCACACUAAGCGGGUAAUUUGAAUUUGUUAUAUGCAUUUUAAUUGUUUGAAUUUCAUAGGGUGGGAACUGUUAGCUCCGGAUAAAUUUAUUUGAGUAA